UACGGAGGAUGCAAGCGUUAUCCGGAUUCAUUGGGUUUAAAGGGUGCGUAGGCGGGAUGGUAAGUCAGGGGUGAAAGCCAGCAGCUCAACUGUUGAAUUGCCUUUGAUACUGCCAUUCUUGAGUGUGUUUGAAGUGGGCGGAAUGUGACAUGUAGCGGUGAAAUGCGUAGAUAUGUCGCAGAACACCGAUUGCGAAGGCAGCUCACUAAGCCAUUACUGACGCUGAGGCACGAAAGCGUGGGGAGCAAACAGG
This 253-nucleotide ribosomal RNA is filed under the name uncultured bacterium. RNAcentral's name for it is "partial 16S ribosomal RNA". It matches the Rfam family "Bacterial small subunit ribosomal RNA", at positions 524 to 776 of the family's 1533-position model. The record is from RNAcentral.